Long non-coding RNA from Cyprinus carpio (common carp), 1261 nucleotides. The record is from Ensembl. NCBI's taxonomy places the organism in Eukaryota, Metazoa, Chordata, Actinopteri, Cypriniformes, Cyprinidae.
CAUUGAAAAAAAAAGGCUCAUAUGUCUGGCACGGGGGGUGGCCCUCCAACCCAAGACUUGACCACAGCAGAGGAGCUGGCCCUGGAGUUGAAUAAAGGCCCAGCAAGAGAGACUGGCCUCUUCAUACAAGGCUUGGCACGUCCUGUCAAAACUAUCAAUACAAGUUCUAUUGAAUAUGGCAGAGGGAAGGCACAUCUGAUGAUGAUGAGAUCGUGUCACUGGACUCCAGAAGGCUUGAGGUGUCAUGUCAAUUUUGUGUAAAGAAGAUAUUUUGAAGAUUGCUUGUAAUCAAACAGUUGGUGGCUCCUACUGACUUCCAUAGUAUUUUUAUUUCCUCUUUUAUGUUCAACAUAAGAAAGCAACUCAUACAGGUUUGGAUAGAACUUCAAAAGAAGAAUCAGAUGAUCCAGAACAUAUAAAGGUAUUUUGUUGUUUACUAAAAAUAUUUAUAAGGUUGUUGCCAUCCUCAAGAGUAGAACCAUUUUCAAAAUAUAUUUUCUUAUUCCUUUAUUCGAGUUGAAAAGACUAACAAAUGGAACAUUUAUUUAGAAUAAGCCUAUAUAUACACUACAUAUUGACCUCGUCAUGGACUUAAAUGAAACCACAUUUGCAACUUCAUCAGCCAUUUCUUAUAAUCUCAACAAAUGCAAUAAUAUAUGCAUUCAUCAAACCUCUAACAGCAAUAUGAACAGUCUUCAUAACAACACUAAAACAGGGAUACUUAGAUGCAUGACAGUAUAUGUCGUAUUUUAAUGCGUGAUAAUUAAAAUGAUGCAACAUUUGCAGAAGACCAUGGAGUGACUGUAAAACAUUAAUUUCUAGAAAGAUUGACAGCAGAACUAACAGAUAAAUCACUAAGAUUAAUCUUAGCCUGGUUGUUAGCCUGCUCCGGAGCAGGCUAGCUGCAAAGUGUAAAUCUCCAUAGUAACAUAAUGUAGAUUAAUUUAGCCUCCCUUCAUGCAACCGAGUCAGGGCUAAAUUCAGCCAGGAUAACUGGAAAAUCCCAGUUUAAUCCCUUAUCUUGCUUUUGUGCAAUACCCCCCAGUUUCCCAAUCUUCCUUUCAUUGCAAAAACACUUGAACGAGCUGUGUUAAACCAAUUCUCUGCCUUUCUCACACAGAACAACCUCCUUGACAGCAACCAAUCUGGCUUCAGAAGUGGACAUUCAACUGAGACUGCCUUGCUCUCAGUUGUUGAAGCCCUAAGACUCGCAAGAGCGGAAUCCAAAUCUUCAAUACUUAUCUUGCUUGAUCUGUUCGCU